AAGCAAAUGACCAAGAAACAACUUUUAUAUUAAUCAGGAUUCGUUUUUAAGUUGAAGUGACCAAAAUACAACUCAAACUAACUCAAGCAAAAAAGAAAUAGGUACUGGGGAGAGGGGACAGUAGGGGAACAGGCUCCCACAUACUGAGAUCUGGGAACACAAAGGGAAGUUAUCAGGUCUCUCUCCCUCUCAGCUCUGCUUCUUUCAGUGUGGUGGCCUCAUUCUUUCUAACUGAAGAACGAUCUUUACUGCAGAAAAUUCUAAGCAUUAUUGUGGCAGAUCCAGUAAGUCCCAGAGAAGGAUUCUGAUUGGUCCUGCUUCAGUCACAUGCUUGCAUCUUAGUCCAAUCACUGUGGCCUGGAGGAUGGGACACCAUGAUUUGCAAGACUCUGGUCACAUGCCCACACCUGUGGCUUCUGAAGCAGAGCACCAGCAGUGACAGUCCCACCAGAACCGCAUGGAAUAGAAAACUGUGCAUUUCCCUAAGGAAAGGGAAUGCCAGAGAAGGGCAGAAGGGAAAUCAGGAAGACAAAACGGUAAAUUACCUACCACAAAUCCAAUUCAUUGGUAUUUUUCCACUUACACUUAACCAAGCAACGAUUUCUCCUGGUCCCAUAAUGGAAAAGAGGGUUUAUCUAGAUUCAUAUAUACAAGACUGAAGAGUGAAGAGAGACCCAGAGAAUGUUCUAAAAUCUGCCAGUUAGCAUAAUCACACAGAGAAAUCUCUGCUUCCAGAGGAGGAGCCAAGUUCAAGUCAGAGGUGAGGAAUGCCAACAGGAAAGCUCACUUUCUCCGGGGAUAUUCAGGCCAACACUAGGAAACCACAGCCAAGUCAGGCAGGGCUUGGGGCGGAACUGCUGACACCUCCACCCUAGCCAAUCCAAGGUGCACGCCUGCCUCAUGCAGCCCAGCGUGACUCCCGCCAUUGGCACACUGUGCCCAUCACAGGCUGGAGCUCCUUUCCUCCACCGUCUUCCCAACUCCUGCCAACCAGAACUUAACUACUCCUUUGGAUUCUGCUUUUCACUUGUUCUUCAUCAGACUAUGGAAGCUUAGACUUCAUAAUUUGGCUGAGACUUCAAAAAUAGUUUUAAAGAAAGCUAUUCCCACCCUGCUAAAUGUCUUCAUGUUGGAGUGGACCUUUCCUCUAUCUGUCAACAGAAUGGAUAAAUUGUGGAAGAGUAAUAUCAGAAUACUACACAUCAGUAAAAAACAACAAACUUCUGCUACAAACAAUCAACAUCGAUGAAUCUUUCAGGCAAAAGGUUAUAGAAACAGAUGAUCAGUGGCCCACGGAUUCCAGGUGAGGAUCUGGGACCCAGACAUCCAGAUAUUGAAAACACAGGGAUGGAGUCUGUAUGGAAAAAAUUAAAAUAUAGCAAAAUGUGAAAUACGGAAGAGAAAUCUUUCAAUUUCCCAAUGGAAGUGAGAAAAGAGCAAAGAAAAGUAUUGGUCUUCCAAAACAAAUAGAGGACGGAGCUGCUGCUGUUGCAUGGUGUCUAGAAACUCAGACAACUUCAUCAUUCCAUAUUUGCAUCCAAGAGAGAGAAAGAAAAACUACAAUCAUUUUCCAUUUACCCAUCAACCCAUCAACCUCCAAAUAAAGGCUAUUAAAAAACAAUCAAAGUGUGAAGAGGGCAGAAAAUGUGAUGAAGAGAUUCUUUGGAGAAAGUAGCUGCCACUGUUACCUUGGGAUCUGCCUAUAGUCCUCACAGAGCUUGCCCUUGCAGGAUAGAACAUAGGAGUCUGGGAGUCUGCAAGAAGAGACAGGGUCUCACUAUGUUGCCCCAGUUGGCCUUGAA
This 1802-nucleotide long non-coding RNA is filed under the name Homo sapiens (human). RNAcentral's name for it is "HSALNT0377588". Lineage: Eukaryota; Metazoa; Chordata; Mammalia; Primates; Hominidae. The record is from RNAcentral.